GACGAACGCUGGCGGCGUGCUUAACACAUGCAAGUCGAGCGAGGUCCUACCGGUGGCAACACCGGGAAAGACCUAGCGGCGAACGGGUGAGUAACACGUGAGGAACCUGCCCCGAAGACCGGGAUAACCCUCCGAAAGGGGGGCUAAUACCGGAUACCCUCUUCCGGUCGCAUGGCUGGAUGAGGAAAGGGCUUUACCGCUUCGGGAGGGCCUCGCGGCCUAUCAGCUUGUUGGUGAGGUAACGGCUCACCAAGGCGACGACGGGUAGCUGGUCUGAGAGGACGAUCAGCCACACUGGGACUGAGACACGGCCCAGACUCCUACGGGAGGCAGCAGUGGGGAAUCUUGCGCAAUGGGCGAAAGCCUGACGCAGCAACGCCGCGUGCGGGAUGAAGGCCUUCGGGUUGUAAACCGCUUUCAGUGGGGACGAAUCCAGACGGUACCCACAGAAGAAGCCCCGGCCAACUAC
Molecule: ribosomal RNA, 469 nt
Filed under: uncultured Actinomycetes bacterium
Lineage: Bacteria; Bacillati; Actinomycetota; Actinomycetes
Description: bacterial SSU rRNA
Rfam family: Bacterial small subunit ribosomal RNA
Source: RNAcentral